Long non-coding RNA from Myotis brandtii (Brandt's bat), 219 nucleotides. RefSeq lists it as uncharacterized. The transcript has 4 exons. The record is from RefSeq and is a predicted model, not a curated record. Lineage: Eukaryota; Metazoa; Chordata; Mammalia; Chiroptera; Vespertilionidae.
CAGAGGCAGGAGGAUCUCUGGAGGGAGAGGGGCAGACAGACGGUGUCACCCCGCAGUCACCUCGGGCUUGGCUUGGGGCCACCGGGAGCUGGGCCCCACCACUGUCACCCCGAUUAGGUUUCUCCCAUAAAGCGACCAGUGUUCCUGCUCGCCAGGCCCACAAUGGAGUCGGGAAAAGGACACGGGCGGCAUGGGGGGCAGGUCCCCGCCCGCCCCGCC